GCCGGGGCGGGUGGAGACACGACUGGUGGGAAACAGUGGUUGCCAGGAGCAACGGCAAAUGCGCCAGCCAAUGGCGAGGCCGAAUUCCCUCCGCCGGGUUCUCGCCGGAGUUGUAAUCCGGGUGCGCCCACCUGGAGGGGCCUUCUGUGUUCAACAAAGACUUAGUCAAAGCUACACUCCGGGUCGUGAUUGGAUUAUGGAAGGGGAGAGUUUGGAGUAAAAAUUAACUGAAGCAGUGCUUCUGAUAGGCUCAGAGCAAAACUGAGCAGUGUGAACAGGAGGCCUGGGAUUGAGCUGAGAAGCAAACUCAAAGUCUUUUCCUUGGAAACCUCAGAGUUAAGAUCGAUGUGAAAUGCUGGUUCUGAAAAUUGAUUAUCUAAGCUUCAUGCGUGGAUUGAAAAUCCUGCGUCUACACCGCCUGCAUGGUUUAGACCCUCCAAGCAAGAAUGGGAUGUUCCACUGACACUGACAAUCUCAAAUAGCAGAGUUUCCAACGUUCUAUUAUUUUAGAAAACAUUUGUCAGCACCAUGUCCUUGGUCUCAACGAACAGUAGUGGUCUUUACCAGAUAAAAAGGCACUAUCUACAACUGAUUGACCAUGCAACAUGUAUCAGGCAUAGCAAAUAUAUGAGGAAACUGCUGGCUGGUACACAGCAGGUGGGAAUAUAAAUUGGUACAAUCUUACAAGAUAAUUUGAUACAAAGUAAAAGCUAGUGUGUAUAUAACAGAUGCUACUUGGAGAUGGCCCCUCAGCUUCCUUCUCUACCCCGCCCUCAUUUUUUGAACCCACUACCCAUUAUACUGAAGAGACACUUGGAGAAAAUGGGGGUUAUCUAGCUGAGACUGAGGACUAAGGAAGGUUUCUCCGGUGAAUUCAUUGAGUGCAUGUGCACACACACAAAAAGACAAAAACAGUAUUCGCUCAAUGUAUAGCAGUAUUGUGCUCUCGACAGGGAGUGUUCAGGAAUUCAACCUCAGACUUUAGAAAUUAACAAAAGUUAAAUAAUGGCAAUAGCACUUAUUAGCAAUACCACUGGAAAACUUACGUAACCAUUCUGCCGUUCAGUUCCUGUAGCUAUAAAAUGGGGCAAAAGAAGGGAAUAAUGGCAUUGAACUCACAGGACUGUGGUGAGGGUUGAAAUGAGAGAAAUUGAUUCCAGCACUUGAAGUGGUAUCAAUGUUAUCGCCAUUCUCUUUUUCACUUUGUUGUCUUUUUGAGAUGUUUGCUAGUGAAAGUGUUGUCAUUUUGUAAGUUUUGAAAGGUUGAUUAGUAAGAGUACCUGUCUGUCUGCAGAUUGUCCUACCCUGAGGAUGGAGCAGUUGUUUACAAAUGAUAGUGGGGAUAAGGAUUACCAAUGAGUUCUUUCCGAUCCCUCAGAGAUGUCAAAUUUCAUAAGUCUGCGGUGGGCCUAAAACUCUGCAGUUUUCCAAAGCCCGUUCCUCCAUUCUCUCAGUGCUUCUGACGCAGGGGAUACACAGAUGGUACUUAGAAAGCCUUCAGAUCAGAUGAGCAUUCAGGGUUCUUGUUUCUCUGUAAAAUCACUCCAUCCAUGUUGUAAUAAACCACUCAAGACGUAAAACACAAAGGUGGUUUAUUCCUAGCCAUCUUCAAUAGAGGACAUCCCCAGUCUGCCCAGAUGGCUUGCUGUAGAGUUUAAUCACUUCACUUGUAAAGAAGUCCCUGUGUUUGCAUCAUCAAAAUAAGCCAUCAUUAAAAAAUAAAAACACAGCAGGUAAAUGAUCCCAGGCUGGAUUCUAGAAACAAAAUGUGGCGAUGUGGAGCAAAGGGACACUCUCAUGAGUUAUUGAUGAGACUACCCUGGCACAGCGUCUGCAUACCGCAAGCAAGUUGGUGAUGCUUAAGUGCACAUCUAGGACGUUCAGCUUGAGAUAGGAUCCAACAUCUUUUAAAUGUGCAAGGACAGUUAUUGCUGCAUUUUUUUUUUUUUUGAGAGAGAGAUCAGAAACAGCUGAAUAUCUGCUGAUAAGAAAUUAACUAGGGGCCGACGCUGUGGCACAGUGGGUUAACGCCCUGGCCUGAAGCGCCCACAUCCCGUAUGGGCGCCAGUUCUAGUCCCGGCUGCUCUUCUUCCGAUCCAGCUCUCUGCUGUGGCCUGGGAUAGCAGAAGAUGGCCCAAGUCCUUGGGCCCCUGCACCCAUGUGGGAGACCUGGAAGAAGCUCCUGGCUCCUGGCUUUGGAUCGGCGCAGUUCCAGCCAUUGCAGCCAUUUGGGGAGUGAACCAGCAGAUGGAAGACCUCUCUCUUUGUCUCUACCCUCUCUGUAACUCUGUCUUUCAAAUAAAUAAAAUCAAUCUUUUAAAAAAAAGAAAUUAACUAUGGCUCAUCUGCAUAAUCCAAUACUAUGCAACAUUUCUUAGGGAAAGAUAAGCCCAAAGUGGGAUGAUCUGUAAGACAUAGUAUUAAGGAUAAAAGAGUGACAUGCAUAGUAUGCCACUGUAUUGUACAAAAAGCACACAGAAAUAUAGGUACAGUAUUUUCUUGAGACAUUGGUUACCUUUGGGAAGAAGAACUAAGGCUGGGAUAGGGUUGGGAAGAUGUCUCAGCACCUAUCCUUUUGUACCUUUUAAAUGUCCUAUGUACAAGUAUGUGUACUAUGUAUUUAAUAAGUUAGUUUUUUUAUUUUUAAAAAGAUUUAUUUAUUUGAAAGGCAGAGUUACAGAGAGGCAGAGGCAGAAACAGAGAGGUCUUUCAUCCACUGGUUCACUCCCCAAAUGGCUGCAGCAGCUGGAGCUGGGCCAAUCAGAAGCCAGGAGCCAGGGGCUUCUGGGUCUCCCACAUGGGUGCAGGGGCCCAAGCACUUGGGCCAUCUUCUACUGCUAUCCCAGGCCAUGGCAAAGAGCUGAAUCGGAAGUGGAGCAGCCAGGACUCGAACUGGCACCCAUAUGGGAUGACAGUACUGCAAGUGGCAGCUUUACCUGCUACACCACAGAGCCAGCCCUAGAAAUUAGUUUUUAAAACAUAAGGUUUGGCCGGUGCCGCGGCUCACUAGGCUAAUCCUCCACCUUGCGGCGCGGGCACACCAGGUUCUAGUCCCGGUCAGGGCACCGGAUUCUGUCCCGGUUGCCCCUCUUCCAGGCCAGCUCUCUGCUGUGGCCCGGGAAGGCAGUGGAGGAUGGCCCAAGUGCUUGGGCCCUGUACCCCACGGGAGACCAGGAGAAGCACCUGGCUCCUGCCAUCGGAUCAGCGCAGUGCGCCUGCCGCAGCGCGCUGGCCACAGCGGCCAUUGGAGGGUGAACCAAUGGCAAAGGAAUACCUUUCUCUCUCUCUCUCUCUCUCUCUCUCACUGUCCACUCUGCCUGUCAAAAAAUUUAAAAAAAUAAAUAAAACAUAAGGUUUGUUCAGAAAGGAACAGGUUUAUCAGAAAUCAGAUGAAGAAGUGAAAAAAAUGGUUUUGAAUAUCUUUCUCGUUGUAAAACAGAACUUAGGAAAAAUUACUGGAGGGAGACCAACUGUCAAGUCAGCAUCACCUAGCGCGGCAGCGUGGUGCUGUGAAGCUGAGUGAUGCUGUCCCAGAGGGCUGAUGACCCAAAUAUGCUGUCCCAGCAGUCACAGAGGAAUGCCACCCUGUGAGAGACCUGUCGCCUUCUUCAAGAAGUUCAAACCACAUUGUAGAUAUGUAAUUAAUCCUUAUGUUAAUUAGAAGGCAUGCUUAUUAGUCCCACCUUACAAAUAAAGAUGCUAUGGUGAGAAUAAUAACUUACCCUGUCAUGCCUGGCAAAACCAGUCCUGUGUUUUUAGCCAUGAGUCUGAGAAAUUUUUCAAAUUUUGACACACUGUGCUAGGAGACACAAGAGUUACUAAACAGCACACAAAGCAUUUUUCAUCUGUUACUGUGAUACCUGGUGUGUGUGUGUGUGUGUGCAUGUGCGUGUGUCUACACACCAAAUAAAGUCAGCCUUCUACACCCUGUACAGGUAUCUUCCUGGCUUCCUUCCUGUCCUGGCUGUCCUUUGCCGAGUGUGUCACCUGAGUUAGUCACUCACCUCUUUACUGACUCACCCAAAGUCACCUACUUUAUGGUUGGUUGGUUGUUUUAAUUGAGAGCCUGUUGUUUAUCAUGCCCUAUGUUUGUACCUCACAUGUAUCGUCUCACCUCACCCUCAUACUCAUCCCCAAAGGCAAACUGAAACACAGGUUAACUAACUUAGCCAGUGUCACAUAACUGGAAAGUUAUGAUCCAAAUUCAGCUCCGCCUGACUCCGUCACUCAUCUCUAACCACUCUACCUCCAUGAUAAAUGUGAAAGUUCUUUAUAAAAUGAAGUAACACCUUGACACUAGGGACUCCAUUUUGGAGAACCUGAGACUCCAUUCUGGGAAGGUGCCCACCCACACACCGUGAGACUCUGGUCUGAAACUGUGACCUAAAACAGUUGAACAAUAGCAGUCCACUACAUCACACUUGGCAGAGCAUAGAAACCCCCUAGCAUGAUCGCUCAAGCUUGGAAGUGGAUAGGCUGCACCUGGGUUAAUGAUAAUUUUAUUUGUCUAUGUCCUACAUAUGAUUAAAACCAAUACCUGGAUUAAUGUCAAGAUUAUAAUUAAAAUUGUUAAGAUUGUGACUGUAUUGUCAAGAUUAUAAUUGAUACUAGUUUCACAUAGGUUUUAGGUCAGCUUAACCCCAGUAACAAUGUAUUCCUCCUGAUCCUAGCAACCAUGUAUUCCCCUCCUGAUUGUGUGGUUUUUGCCUUUAUAAACACUGUUGCUUUGGGCUUCAGGGUCGAGAGUUCUUUAGAGCAUGAGCCCACUCUCCACCACAGGCAAUAAAGGACCAUCAGAUUUUA
Molecule: non-coding RNA, 4803 nt
Organism: Oryctolagus cuniculus (rabbit)
Lineage: Eukaryota; Metazoa; Chordata; Mammalia; Lagomorpha; Leporidae
Source: RefSeq, a predicted model, not a curated record